GUCUUCGAGUCGUUGAUUUCACACUGCCGAGAAAAGCCUCUAGAUAGAAAAUAGGUGCCCGUACCGCAAACCGACACAGGUAGUCAAGAUGAGAAUUCUAAGGUGAGCGAGCGAACUCUCGUUAAGGAACUCGGCAAAAUGACCCCGUAACUUCGGGAGAAGGGGUGCUCUUUAGGGUUAACGCCCAGAAGAGCCGCAGUGAAUAGGCCCAAGCGACUGUUUAUCAAAAACACAGGUCUCUGCUAAACCGUAAGGUGAUGUAUAGGGGCUGACGCCUGCCCGGUGCUGGAAGGUUAAGAGGAGUGGUUAGCUUCUGCGAAGCUACGAAUCGAAGCCCCAGUAAACGGCGGCCGUAACUAUAACGGUCCUAAGGUAGCGAAAUUCCUUGUCGGGUAAGUUCCGACCCGCACGAAAGGCGUAACGAUUUGGGCACUGUCUCAACGAGAGACUCGGUGAAAUCAUAGUACCUGUGAAGAUGCAGGUUACCCGCGACAGGACGGAAAGACCCCGUGGAGCUUUACUGUAGCCUGAUAUUGAAAUUCGGCACAGCUUGUACAGGAUAGGUAGGAGCCUUUGAAACGUGAGCGCUAGCUUACGUGGAGGCGCUGGUGGGAUACUACCCUAGCUGUGUUGGCUUUCUAACCCGCACCACUUAUCGUGGUGGGAGACAGUGUCAAGCGGGCAGUUUGACUGGGGCGGUCGCCUCCUAAAAGGUAACGGAGGCGCUCAAAGGUUCCCUCAGAAUGGUUGGAAAUCAUUCAUAGAGUGUAAAGGCAUAAGGGAGCUUGACUGCGAGACCUACAAGUCGAGCAGGGUCGAAAGACGGACUUAGUGAUCCGGUGGUUCCGCAUGGAAGGGCCAUCGCUCAACGGAUAAAAGCUACCCCGGGGAUAACAGGCUUAUCUCCCCCAAGAGUUCACAUCGACGGGGAGGUUUGGCACCUCGAUGUCGGCUCAUCGCAUCCUGGGGCUGUAGUCGGUCCCAAGGGUUGGGCUGUUCGCCCAUUAAAGCGGUACGCGAGCUGGGUUCAGAACGUCGUGAGACAGUUCGGUCCCUAUCCGUCGUGGGCGUAGGAAAUUUGAGAGGAGCUGUCCUUAGUACGAGAGGACCGGGAUGGACAUACCUCUGGUGUACCAGUUGUCGUGCCAACGGCAUAGCUGGGUAGCUAUGUGUGGACGGGAUAAGUGCUGAAAGCAUCUAAGCAUGAAGCCCCCCCUCAAGAUGAGAUUUCCCAACUUCGGUUAUAAGAUCCCUCAAAGAUGAUGAGGUUAAUAGGUUCGAGGUGGAAGCAUGGUGACAUGUGGAGCUGACGAAUACUAAUCGAUCGAAGACUUAAUCAA
Molecule: ribosomal RNA, 1340 nt
Filed under: Staphylococcus aureus M1044
Lineage: Bacteria; Bacillati; Bacillota; Bacilli; Caryophanales; Staphylococcaceae
Description: bacterial LSU rRNA
Rfam family: Bacterial large subunit ribosomal RNA
Source: RNAcentral